RNAcentral lists this ribosomal RNA (465 nucleotides) under uncultured bacterium. RNAcentral describes it as "partial 16S ribosomal RNA". It matches the Rfam family "Bacterial small subunit ribosomal RNA", at positions 28 to 507 of the family's 1533-position model. The record is from RNAcentral.
GAUGAACGCUGGCGGCGUGCUUAACACAUGCAAGUCGAACGGAAAGGCUCCUGCUUGCAGGGGUACUCGAGUGGCGAACGGGUGAGUAACACGUGGGUGAUCUGACCUGCACUUCGGGAUAAGCCUUGGAGACUGGGUCUAAUACCGGAUAGGACGAUGGAUUGGAUGCCCUUGUGGAAAGUUUUUCGGUGUGGUAUGAGCUCGCGGCCUAUCAGCUUGUUGGUGGGGUAAUGGCCUACCAAGGCGUCGACAGGUAGCCGGCCUGAGAGGAUGUACGGCCACAUUGGGACUGAGAUACGGCCCAGACUCCUACGGGAGGCAGCAGUGGGGAAUAUUGCACAAUGGGCGCAAGCCUGAUGCAGCGACGCCGCGUGGGGGAUGACGGCCUUCGGGUUGUAAACUCCUUUCGCUAGGGACGAAGCGCAAGUGACGGUACCUGGAGAAGAAGCACCGGCUAACUACGUG